AAUGGCCGCGGUAACUUGACCGUGCAAAGGUAGCAUAAUUAUUAGUCUUUUAAUUGAAGGCUUGUAUGAAUGAUUGGAUGAAAAAUAUACUUUAUUGAUAAAAUAGAUUGAAAUUAUCAUUUAAGUUAAAAUUCUUAAAUAUAUGAGUGGGACGAGAAGACCCUAUAGAGUUUAAUCUUUUUUUAUAUAUUAACAUUAAAGAAUAAAUAUUUUUAUGAUAUAAAAAAAUUUUUUGUUGGGGUGAUAUUAAAAAUUAUUUAACUUUUAAUUAAUAUUUCAUUAAUAAAUGUUAAAUUGAUCCAGUUUUUUGAUUACAAGAUAAAAUUACCUUAGGGAUAACAGCGUUAUUAAUUUGGAGAGUUCAAAUCGAUAAAUUAGUUUGCGACCUCGAUGUUGGAUUAAGAAAAUUUUUUGGAGUAGAUUUUAAAAUAUUAGGUCUGUUCGACCUUUAAAUUCUUACG
RNAcentral lists this ribosomal RNA (461 nucleotides) under Yanga guttulata. RNAcentral describes it as "partial 16S large subunit ribosomal RNA". It matches the Rfam family "Bacterial large subunit ribosomal RNA", at positions 1926 to 2600 of the family's 2925-position model. Lineage: Eukaryota; Metazoa; Arthropoda; Insecta; Hemiptera; Cicadidae. The record is from RNAcentral.